GACGAACGCUGGCGGCGUGCUUAACACAUGCAAGUCGAACGAAGAGCGACGUAAGCUUGCUUCUAUCAAUCUUAGUGGCGAACGGGUGAGUAACGCGUAAUCAACCUGCCCUUCAGAGGGGGACAACAGUUGGAAACGACUGCUAAUACCGCAUACGAUCUAACCUCGGCAUCGAGGAUAGAUGAAAGGUGGCCUCUACAUGUAAGCUAUCACUGAAGGAGGGGAUUGCGUCUGAUUAGCUAGUUGGAGGGGUAACGGCCCACCAAGGCGAUGAUCAGUAGCCGGUCUGAGAGGAUGAACGGCCACAUUGGGACUGAGACACGGCCCAGACUCCUACGGGAGGCAGCAGUGGGGAAUCUUCCGCAAUGGACGAAAGUCUGACGGAGCAACGCCGCGUGAGUGAUGACGGCCUUCGGGUUGUAAAGCUCUGUUAAUCGGGACGAAAGGCCUUCUUGCGAAUAGUGAGAAGGAUUGACGGUACCGGAAUAGAAAGCCACGGCUAACUACGUG
RNAcentral lists this ribosomal RNA (510 nucleotides) under uncultured bacterium. RNAcentral's name for it is "partial 16S ribosomal RNA". It matches the Rfam family "Bacterial small subunit ribosomal RNA", at positions 28 to 507 of the family's 1533-position model. The record is from RNAcentral.